RNAcentral lists this ribosomal RNA (497 nucleotides) under uncultured bacterium. RNAcentral describes it as "partial 16S ribosomal RNA". It matches the Rfam family "Bacterial small subunit ribosomal RNA", at positions 28 to 507 of the family's 1533-position model. The record is from RNAcentral.
GAUGAACGCUGGCGGCGUGCCUAAUACAUGCAAGUCGAGCGAACGGACGAGAAGCUUGCUUUUCUGAUGUUAGCGGCGGACGGGUGAGUAACACGUGGAUAACCUACCUAUAAGACUGGGAUAACUUCGGGAAACCGGAGCUAAUACCGGAUAAUAUUUUGAACCGCAUGGUUCAAAAGUGAAAGACGGUCUUGCUGUCACUUAUAGAUGGAUCCGCGCUGCAUUAGCUAGUUGGUAAGGUAACGGCUUACCAAGGCAACGAUGCAUAGCCGACCUGAGAGGGUGACCGGCCACACUGGAACUGAGACACGGUCCAGACUCCUACGGGAGGCAGCAGUAGGGGAUCUUCCGCAAUGGGCGAAAGCCUGACGGAGCAACGCCGCGUGAGUGAUGAAGGUCUUCGGAUCGUAAAACUCUGUUAUUAGGGAAGAACAUAUGUGUAAGUAACUGUGCACAUCUUGACGUUACCUAAUCAGAAAGCCACGGCUAACUACGUG